GGGAGCCUAUACAGGUGUUGCAUGGCUGUCGUCAGCUCGUGUCGUGAGAUGUUCGGUUAAGUCCGCUAACGAGCGCAACCCUCGUCGUAUGUUAUAUGUGUCAUACGAGACUGCCGGUAAAAAGCCGGAGGAAGGUGAGGAUGAUGUCAAGUCAGCAUGACCUUUAUAUCCAGGGCUACACACACGCUACAAUGGUCUGUACAAUGGGUAGCCAAGCCGCGAGGCGGAGCCAAUCCUGAAAGCAGGCCUCAGUUCAGAUUGCAGUCUGCAACUCGACUGCAUGAAGCCGGAGUUGCUAGUAACCGCAGGUCAGCAAUACUGCGGUGAAUACGUUCCCGGGUCUU
Molecule: ribosomal RNA, 344 nt
Filed under: uncultured Anaerolineaceae bacterium
Lineage: Bacteria; Bacillati; Chloroflexota; Anaerolineae; Anaerolineales; Anaerolineaceae
Description: bacterial SSU rRNA
Rfam family: Bacterial small subunit ribosomal RNA
Source: RNAcentral